This 89-nucleotide transfer RNA is filed under the name Hirsutella minnesotensis 3608. It matches the Rfam family "tRNA". Rfam says of the family: Transfer RNA (tRNA) molecules are approximately 80 nucleotides in length. Their secondary structure includes four short double-helical elements and three loops (D, anti-codon, and T loops). Further hydrogen bonds mediate the characteristic L-shaped molecular structure. tRNAs have two regions of fundamental functional importance: the anti-codon, which is responsible for specific mRNA codon recognition, and the 3' end, to which the tRNAs corresponding amino acid is attached (by aminoacyl-tRNA synthetases). tRNAs cope with the degeneracy of the genetic code in two manners: having more than one tRNA (with a specific anti-codon) for a particular amino acid; and 'wobble' base-pairing, i.e. permitting non-standard base-pairing at the 3rd anti-codon position. The record is from Rfam by way of RNAcentral. Lineage: Eukaryota; Fungi; Ascomycota; Sordariomycetes; Hypocreales; Ophiocordycipitaceae.
GGCCGCGUGGCCUAAUGGCUAAGGCGCUAGAUUUCGGUAGAAAUCAUCUGUUUCUCUAGAGAUUCCAGGUUCGACUCCUGGCGUGGUCG